GAUGAAGAACGUAGUAAAAUGCGAUAAGCAAUGUGAAUUGCAGAAUUCAGUGAAUCAUCGAAUCUUUGAACGCACAUUGCGCCCGCCAGUAUUCUGACGGGCAUGCCUGUUCGAGCGUCAUUUCAACCAUCAAGCCCCCGGCUUGUGUUGGGGACCUGCGGCUGCCGCAGGCCCUGAAAUCCAGUGGCGGGCUCGCCGUAGCACCGAGCGUAGUAGCACACUUCUCGCUCCGGUAGCAGCGGCGGGCGCUUGCCGUAAAACCCCCCCUAAAAUCUCAAGGUUGACCUCGGAUCAGGUAGGAAUACCCGCUGAACUUAAGCAUAUCAAUAAGCGGAGGA
Molecule: unclassified non-coding RNA, 338 nt
Filed under: soil metagenome
Description: partial contains 5.8S ribosomal RNA, internal transcribed spacer 2, and large subunit ribosomal RNA
Rfam family: 5.8S ribosomal RNA (bases 1-120)
Source: RNAcentral